Long non-coding RNA from Musa acuminata AAA Group (dessert banana), 1227 nucleotides. RefSeq lists it as uncharacterized. Lineage: Eukaryota; Viridiplantae; Streptophyta; Magnoliopsida; Zingiberales; Musaceae. The record is from RefSeq and is a predicted model, not a curated record. The transcript is spliced from 6 exons.
UGCGAACAGCACGCUUAACCGACGGCCACACAUCGCGCGGAUGCUGUUCCUCCUCCCUCCCUCCCUCCUCUCCUCCAUGAUUCGCCUCGUCUCGAUUCACAUGAGAUAGCUAAGAUUUCACCGUCAAAUCGAUCCAAAGUAAUGGGAUGAGGGAAGCAUCGUUGCGAAUCCGAGCUCGCCUUCUGGAUUUCUUCCUCGACCGCGAACCCUUCUUGUAGGGUUCGUGGUCUCAUGGGGUCUACUUGCACAGAGAAUGCAGCAGAUGAUGUGUCCGGCUUGUUAUGAAAAUUGGUCAGUUUCUUUCACUGAUCAGUUAUAUUCUGUGCAUUGAGCACAAUUUAAUGGCUAAAACAUCAAUACUGUUGUUGAUUACAUUAGAAGUUAUGCAACUUUACAUGACUCUUUCAUUUUAGUAUAUGAUUUCAUUAAUGUGAUUUCACUACUUAUAACACAUUAUUUGCAGUAACACACAAUUUUGUAUGCUUCAAUGGAACUUCAUAUAUGAAACUGUCAAGGUUCAAGCUGCAGUCAGAAUCAUCCUUGGGUGUGCCAUUGAUGGUGUCUCACUUAUAUUGCCAAACGUAAAUGGAUGUCUUGUAUGGAACAAAUAAACCAUUAAGAAUGAGGAUGAUGAUGCCAAUGAGAGCGGAAGAUCUAGCAUGGUAGAAGAAGGUUUUCAAGAAAGGUGGCAGACAAUAUCCUAUGGGACUGAAUCAUGUACAGUAAGGUGCAGUUUGGCAAGGAGGAAUGUCAUGCUGGUGCAGACCAUGUGCUACGAGAAAAGGAUCCCAUAUGUUUGGUGAUGAUGCAGUCUUCUCCUUCCAGAACAAAUAAGAGGAGUUGAAGUAGGCGUUGAUGCUGGACCAGCAACGUGCUUCCCAACACUAAAUCUUAUGCCCGGAAGACCUGCUUGCAUAUCUGCUGCAUCGACAACAACCGUGUUCAAUAAAGCACUGGCAUGUGGACCAGAAAGAGUAGCACGCAUGUUGCCAUCUUACGCUAUAAUAUUUGGAGUGCCAUAUCAAUCAUCUCAAGACAGCUGAAGUGGUUCGCAGAAGGAUCCUCCAUUAACCUUCUAAGAAUCGCCAUGUUACGGAUAUCAUAUCAUAGCAUCGAGGUGGGUGAAGUGUCUUGACAUCAAUUUUUAUAUAUUAAAGAAUAAUUAUAAUGCAUGUACUCUCUACAGUUGAAAUAUCAAUGUCAAGCAGCCCUGCAUAAUUCUUUUUC